This 427-nucleotide ribosomal RNA is filed under the name uncultured bacterium. RNAcentral describes it as "bacterial SSU rRNA". It matches the Rfam family "Bacterial small subunit ribosomal RNA", at positions 355 to 775 of the family's 1533-position model. The record is from RNAcentral.
UGGGGAAUCUUGCGCAAUGGACGAAAGUCUGACGCAGCGACGCCGCGUGGGUGAUGAAGGCCUUCGGGUUGUAAAGCCCUGUGGGGAGGGACGAAUUAGUAGAAGCUAAUACCUUCUAUGAUGACGGUACCUCCUUAGCAAGCACCGGCUAACUCUGUGCCAGCAGCCGCGGUAAGACAGAGGGUGCAAACGUUGUUCGGAAUUACUGGGCGUAAAGCGUGUGUAGGCGGCUAUGUAAGUCGGAUGUGAAAGCCCUGGGCUCAACCCAGGAAGUGCACUCGAUACUGCGUAGCUUGAGUCUCGGAGAGGUUGGUGGAAUUCUCGGUGUAGAGGUGAAAUUCGUAGAUAUCGAGAGGAACACCGGUGGCGAAGGCGGCCAACUGGACGAAGACUGACGCUGAGACACGAAAGCGUGGGGAGCAAACAG